AGGACCGGUCAACUUGUUUUCUGUUCUUCAUUUUAUCUACAUCCUGAGGCUCGAUCACUUCAGCAGCCUUCUCAUCAUCAGUAGCUUUCACUUCAGUAUUCGCUUUCGCAUCUACUCUCUCUUCACAGUCUGAUGAUGAUGAAGUAGGUGAUUUAGAUGCUGAAUGCUGACCUUGCAAAGCUUCAGAGUAUUCGGGGUCUAGUCGCUCAUCCUGAGUAGUUAGGGCUAGAUCAGUUUUAUCUUUUUGUUCCAUAUUUGCAGCUGGAGUUUGACCAUUCUCCAUUGGUGGAACUGCAGCAGUGGAUGCAGGAGCACAGGUAAAGCCUGUGUGCAGAGGAGCACAUACAGGAAGCAGUCCAUGGGCGGUCCACCAUGCAGUGGCAGCUGCUACUGUUGCAGCAGCAAUUGCGGCCAUACUAGGAGCAGAGUUCGUUUGUGUAGAUGGGAAACCUCUUAGUUCAUUUGCGGGAGAAUCGCCAGAACUUUCAACAUUUGCAUAUGGCCAAAAUGUAGCUGCAAAACUUGCUGCAGCAUGAGCAGCUGGAUUCUGUAACAAAGUAGAUACAAUGAGAUUGGAAAAAGUGGAGGAGACAUGUAGAAAUGAUCGAUACUCCUCUUGAUCGGGCCGAAGAUGUAUAAAGGGAAUAUGAAAAGGUGGCAAUGCCUGAUGAGUAGAUUUUGGUGCAUUAUUCUGAUGUUCAGUAGUUGCCGAUGCAGCUGGAUUUGCAAACAGAUUAGGUCCAUGAACAUCGCCCAUAGGGUGAAAUACAGAAUCUUGAAAUGACAUACCCAGGGAAGGAUUUUGAACACAUGUUCUAAGGCUUCCAUCUAGGACAUGCACAGCAACAUGCCGAGGAUAAUUUUGAGCAGCUUGCAUCUCAUCUGCACAAAAAGCACCAUCCAAAUCAUCUUUUCUCUGGCCUUGAGCUGAUUUCUCAUAUGAAGUGCAAGACUUCUCCAAGUUUGAAGCCUUACUUGUACCAUUAUCAUGAAAUAUCUGUUGGACAUUAAAUUUAUAAGGUUCACAAAUUUCUUUAAGUUCAAGAAUAACAUAGAAUUCAUGUUUUUCAUGAUUUACUACCUCUUUUGGCAAAGGUACAAACUCCCUGAAUGUACAAGAGCUUUUGAGUGCUGCUGACAUUGGUAUAAAAUUCUUAUUCAUGGAAGACGCAGAGGAGCAGUUUUGUUCGUGGAGAAGGGUAAAAACCUCAGAGCAACUCUCGUCUUGAUUUUCUUUCAGAUUUGUAGCCUUUUCAUCUCCAGUAGGUCUCUGACAAACACAAUAUAUUUGAAGCUUACGUUAAAAAGAAGAAAAGAAAAAGAACAUAAUUAAGAGCAUGAAUAAAGUAGUUGAGGAGGAGAAAGAAACCUCUGGAAGUGGUUCUUUCUCCAAGUCCAACAUUUGCUUGCAAUGCAAAGAAGAUAAUGGCAUUUCAGAUUUUCCAUCCUUAGCUCCCUCUUGUACUGUAGUAGCAGCACUGGUUUUUCGAGGAUAAGGAUUGCUUGGUUUUCUUUUAGGGCGUGGAGGUGGAAUCUCUAUGUCAAGAGCUUGACCUAUUGGUACACCUUUAGCAAGUGCCUCCUUCUCCAACUGAGAAUGGAUUAUUGUCAGUAGCAUCAAUAAAAUGAAAAUACAUAAGAGAAAUCUUACGAGUUUUUGGAGGCACCAAUGAAGCAUCAAUAUAAUAUUAACAACGUGCAACACUAAAAUUAAUGAUAGGAAUGACAUAACUAAAUGCAACAUGAUCAUAUCUAACCAGUAUAAUUCCAAAUCUUAUCAGGAAACAAGAAGUCCAAGUAUAUAAUUGCUCUACAAUCUACAAAUAUCUCACAAAGGAGGUUCAUACAAAAUUUUAUACUCCUGUUGUCAAUUAAUAUGGCCUGUUUUAUAACAUUAGAUUAGAUUAGAUUCUUCUUUUAUCCUUUCAUCCCAUCACAUGUCUGCUCAAGACUCGUCAGCAAUAUAAUACUUGAAUGUAGCAGACAUAAACACAGCCCACGGUUGAACAUAUACAUAGACAAAGAUUGACUAAAUAAAAAAAGGGGGGCUGGUUUAGCCGAGCAAUCAGUUUUGCUCGGCUAAACCAACCCCCCAUUUUACUAGGAGAAGAGAGGAUUAGCUGUAUUUAGAUGAAAAGAAAAUUACCAGUGGUUUCUUAAGAAACACAGUUUAGGUACUGCAUAAAUAAGAUUAAUCAAACCAUCCAUGAUGUUCAUUGUCAUGUAAAAUUGAGAUCAUUAAAGGUUAGGACUUCAGACUGAAGAAAGUAUUUCAUAAAGCUUUAACCAUAAUAUUCUUGAACAACCUUCAUCUGCUUACUGUCCUGAUAAGAUUCAUCACUCACGAGCUAAUCGAGAUAAAAAUGUUAUGCAUGAAUUUGUUUGCGACAUCAGAAAUAUGAAAAGGAAAAAAAGAAGGAAGUAAUGCAUUACCAUGUACCUAACUUUAACAUAAUUGGCAGGUGACUGCCGAUAACCUGCAGGAAAUAAGUCUUUAAGAGAAGAAUCCAGUAAAAUCUUACUUUUACUGAAGAUGUAUACACUUAAGGAGGAUAAUCGCUUAAGACAGACCUAUAGGAUGCAUACCUCAAAUCUAACAUCAUAAUUAGCUACAAGGCACAUCUAACAGACAUGCUGCUGUGAGCUUGGCUGCAAAACUUAAGGUACUAUGGGGAAGAUUGAUCCCAGUAUGAUCACCUAGAAGGUAUAAUAUAGUUUCAAUUAGGACUUAUCUUUCUGAUUAAAAGAAAAAUAUGCAGAUCAGAAUGUUAUGUUCCACAUUACCAGGAAAGGAUAUUAGUUGUAUCAUAAAUGACAACAUCUAUAUAGAAGGUAUGAUCCUUAAGCAUAAAUGAGUACCUAUCUUGCAUUUCAAGCUCUCCCAAUUCCCAGAAAUGGAAGAAAGAAAAAUAAAAUUCAUUUUUUAGAUCUAACGAGCAUCUGGCUCACACCAGCAAUAUGGCUAAUGUUUAAAGAGAUUUCUCAUCAGUAAUCUAAAGUUCUAAACACAUCAACAAAGUCUAGAAUUCAACAAAUUCGUGUCAUCCCUGCUAGUACUACUACUCAUCAUAUCCACUCUAAUGUUAGAUAAGAUCAUUUGGUAUUAUGAGAUCAACAUCUUCAACAGCCAUAAACUAAGUAGAUAUAAGCCCUAAACUUCCACCACAUAAAGGAGAUUAUAAGCCCUAAACUUCCACCACAUAAAGGAGAUAAUAAAAAGUAGGUAAUAAAAUGCAAAAAAGAUAUAAGCCCUUGAAAUAUUGUCUUGAAAGGAUGUGAAACUUGCCACUAUAAAAGCUUUUAACAAAAAAAUGAUCCUAAAAUCAAAAGCUAGAAGCUAUCAAAUUUACUCUAACUGCAGAUUCAUUGUCAACCUUGGAUGCUGAUGAAUUGAACUAUUAGCAACCUUGAGAUACUCUACACAUUAAGGAUACAGUAAGCGGUAAUCCUAACUUGCAAUGACUAGCAUACUGCCCAUGGAUGCUGAAGAUUUCAGUUUAAACCAGAACCAAAAUCUAGGCAUAUAAUAUAGCAACGAAGAACAUGAUAGGUGGGCUCACCCCAAAUUCACUUCCUAGUUCUAUACCUCAUAAUGGUGUAUUUUUACUUUGUAUACAAACUCACUUCUUAGUUCUUACUAUACCUCAUAAUGGUGUGUUUUCACUCUCUAUACAAAUUUAGACUACAUGUAUCUACAUGACCCUUUUAUCCGAAGAAACCAAAUAUAUUAACUUUCAAAACCUCUGCUGCGGUAGGUUAAGUACUAAAUUGCUUCAGCAAGUUCAAAAGUGACCAGACAAGAGGAUGCCUUGCACAUAAAAGGUUAGUGAAAGGCAUAUUAGAAAGAAACCUUUUAUGACAACUUAAAAAACCAAAAAUGCCCUUUUUUAUUUCGGACUCCAAGGAUGAUAAACCAUCUUGCGCAGCCAAUUUCAUACAGAGACCAAAUAAAUAGAAUUCAAAUAGCUUACAUCUCCAAAAUCAAAUUUGUAGAGAAGAUAAAAGGCUAUCACCCUAAAUAUGGUUUAAAUAUUUAGCAGCUCAGAUUCUCAUUUAACUCAAGUUGCUGCCUUUUCUAUAUAUAUUAAUAAACAAACUCCAGUGUACUUCUUUACAUAAUUGGUUAUAAUUUUGAUCGGUGAUAUAUGAUUGAUGUUUUUGACACAGAAAGCUAUACAUUCGCUUCAUAUAUUUUCUUUGUUGUUUUAAAUCUAACAAAUUUGUUUAUACAAGAGAGAAAAUGAAGUAAUAGAAUAAUCAGUAAGAUUUCCCAACCGUUCAAGAUAGUACAGUUGACGAUUCGAUAUUUCAUAUUUCUCAAGCAGAAACAAGAAUUAAGCAGCAGAAAAAAAAAUACAUUGAACAUAGGCAUAAGCAUAAACAAGAAGGCACCAAAUGACCUUUGAAAAGAACUUUUGAGCAUGACUCCUGAUCUGCACAGCCGUCUUUGUUCCUAUAUAUUCUGCAAAUCACCAUGUAAAAACAAAAUGGAAAGAAAAUUACAACAAUAAAUAACAAAACUAUUCUUUUGUUGGUCCUAACAAACAUAUCCUACGUAUCUUAGCCUCAAUCCACAAAAACACUAGCUCUAAAAUGAUAGCAGCAAAAUCUAAACUAAGAGGGAAAAAGCAAGUGAAAAAACCUUCAAUGCGUUGCCAAGCUCGUCCAUAGAGCUUCAAGGCCUCUAGGAACCUAUUAUGCUCUUCCUCGGUCCAUCUUUCACGUUGUUUCGUAAUAGUAUAAGGCUUCCUAGUCUAUCAUUUAACAUACAAAAUUCAAUGGUCCAAAUUAUAACAAACAGAAACCCCCAUUUUUUUACAAAGCUUCAUUUAAGAGAAGAGUUUACCUUAAUUACAAGUUCUUCACCAGAGGAGUAUGUGUCCAUUGAAACAGCGUCACCGCUGCUUCAAAUCCUCUCUAGCAAGCAAAGAGUAUAUCACAAACCUCCUUUCAUUUCUUCCAACAUCCAGUACGACAAAUAGUAAUGCCGUUUUUGAGCUCCACAAAACCUGAUGAAUGCUAUUUAAUACUGCAAAAAGAAAAAACACAAAAGAACAACAACAACAAAUCGAUGGAGAUCCGUCUCUGUUUCUAUUUUUAUUCCAAUUAAAUUAAUAUUAAUUUCUCAUCAUUUAAUAAAAAUAUUUACUUGAUAAAAAUUUGGGGUGAAUGCUAAAUCUCUGGAAAAAUUAAAAUAAAAUAAAUAAAAAUUAAGUAUCCACAGUAACAAAGAGAAGAGACGGCUUCUUCCAAAGAACUUAAAAGAAAAUUCUUACCAAAACGAACCGUAGACGCCAAAACCUUUAAUAGAAAAUGAUACGAAAAAAAAAAAAGAAACUUUAAUUAGUUAUCAACAACACACUUCCACUGUUCCACAUCCAAUCUAUCUAUUAACAGCCAAUAAUAGUUCUUUACCUUCUUUUUGGUUGCCGAGAGAAAAAACAAAAGGAUUCAAAUUCAAUCACUUUUCUUUCGUUUCUCUACUCAGCUGCAUAUAAAGAACACAACUUCCAAACUCAGCUUAGCAAAGCCUAUAAGGAAAGCCCUAGAAAUGAAGUGUAAAUACCUUAAAGAGAUAACCAUGGAAGAUGGCAACAAUGGAAGCAACGAUCACGUAUCAAAAAUAGGUUCACCGGAAACCAGCCGGAGAGCUCAUAGUUUCCGGCAAUGACAAGAUCGGAAUCAACAGAAUUGGAAAAAGAAAAGUUGUCUUUUUUGGGAGAAAAGCACUUGAAUAAACCCAAAAAAAAAAGUGAAAGCAAGCUUAUUUUCUGGUGAUAAACUGAAAAAACACCAGAAACUACAGUAUGGGGAAGAAACAAAAGGAGAAAUCUCAGCCACUACAAUUUCAUGAGGAUUUAUUUUUUGGAAAAUUACAAAAAUUGGGCAGAAAUUUAUUUGAGGCUAUAAAAGAAUGAACGGUAAGAUACAUUAGAUGUUGCCAAGUGGCAAUAAGUUAGUGGCUGAUUCAACUAAAAGCCCACCCUUGCACUUUUUCCCUUAUUUUUUUAUCUUUUUUUCUUUUUGCCCUUCUUGUUUCCUACCUCCAUCUUCAAAUAUCAGCCACAAGCUCCCAAUGGUCUUGGUGUUAAAUUAGUAAAAGCGCCUUUUGGUAUGCCACGUGGUUCCUGCCGUCAACGUUUACGCGAUUCGUUGGCGUGGGUAACCGGUACGUGUCGGUUACAGGGGUAGCUUUGGUGUCAAAAGCCACCGGAUUUGUGACCAUUAGCCACCGUAUGCGGUGAUGAGAUUUUAGGGUUGCAACAAAUCUAGGGAUAUGCUAUGCUCCCCGUUUUCUUCUUUCGAUUUAGUUGCUAAUUUUUUUAGGUUAAAAUUCUCCAUAAAUCCUUGUAUUUUUUUAUAGAUUUGAAAUUUAAUUCCUGUACUUUUAUUUUUAGGCAUUUAGUCAUUUUACUUUUCAUAUUUUUAAAUUCAGGUUUUACGGUAAAUAUUGUUAAAAUUAUUUGUUAAAUUCAGGUUCAUUAUAAUAUCAGUUUUUUAGUUAAGUUGCUACCAAGUGAAUUUUUUUUAUUUCAAUAUGUAUUAUAAACCAAUUUAACAAAAAAAAUUGUAACAAUGUUAACAAUUGAACUUAAAUAAAUUUCAAAUUUACGAAGAGUACAGAAAUAUGACCUAUUUUAACCUUUUUUUAUUAAACUUGUGAGUUACAAUUUAAUUCCUAAAUUUGAAUUUUUUUAAAGUGUAUUGGCAUGUCACUCUAAUAUUAGGUCAUAUUGUCAUUUAAAAAUUUGAAAAACUUUAUAUGAUAUCUAAAGAAUGCAAAAGGUAAAAAUUAAAGAAAUUCAUGUGACGAUGUGAAAUAAUCUCAUAACGUCACAUCAUUAUAUUUUAACAAGAUCUAAGUUAAGAAACUAAAUUGAGAAAAGCUAUCAAGUUUAAAGACUAAAGUGGAUUUAAGGACUAAAUGUUACUUUAUGAUUUUUUUUUCAUUUUAAGAUAAGAGUAAACUAGUUUCUGAACUUCAUUUAAAAAGAUGUAUCAUGUUUUGUAAUUAAUGACACAUUCUAAAACAGCGCCCCUAUUUAUUGUAAUGAUAUAGCAUUAUUCAGUGCCUUGAUGUCCUCCGCUAAUGGUUGGAGCCUCCAAUCGAUGGAACUUACAUCCUGCUCAAAACUCUUGCAUAAAGCUUUCAUGUUAGGUGCAGAGAUACCAAUAGUCAAUCCAAACCUCUUUGCCUCAAUCAUUGCUUCUCUUGUUACGAAUAAAAUAGCUUGCUUAGUGCUAACAAAGUGCUACAAGAACUUGUAAAUUUGAUUCCUUGAAUAUUAAAGAUUGUUAGAGACACCCCGAGGCAGAUGGUCCCUUUCUUCCAAGCUACCAAAGCAAUUCCCGAUAUGGUACCAUGAGGAACAUUCGAUCUACUUGAUUUGCUCUGUUGUACUUGGGAAUAUCUCUCCGCAGCAUUCUUCCAUUUCUUGCCCUCAAACACCUGUAUCCAUAGUCCUUGAAGAUUUCAAACUUUGUUGAUUACGUUUAAGGAUUAGCAUCAUAACCUUUAAAAUAGCAUUUAUUUUUAUGAAUCCGUAUAUUUCAUAACUUGAUACGUAUUAUUCAUUAAUAAAAUAAAGAAAUUGAUGUUGAUGCUUUUCCUCCUUAGUAUAACAUACAAGAUAAAACUCCGAAUAUCACAAUUGUUAACUUGAGUCCACUUGAAACCCAAAAUCAAUCCCAACCAAACUAAGAAGAGAUGAUCAUAGGAUUCCAUAUGUUAGAAUAAUUAAUGGUUUUGAUACAACUUGCAGCUUUUGUGGCUACCUAUUUCCUCUUUUAAAGGCAAAACUUUGACAUAUAUUUUUUAUAGAAAUAGUUAAUUCAAAAGGUUAAUAAUUAAGAUAAAAUAUCAUUUUGAUAUUUUUAAAAUUCUUUUUAAUUAUUUUAAAAAUUACUUAAAAAUUAUUAAAAUUUUAACCUAAUCCUUUAAACCGGAGCUUUUGGGUUUUACCCAAUUCUUUGAAACUUAAUCCUUUGCUGUUUUUCUUAUUCUUUUUAAUUCACAUCUGUAAUACCAGACUGUUGCCAAUGAUUAAAAUAUAAAAACAACUCAAAAUUAGAACAGUUAUUUUUAUAAUAAAAUUAUUAAAAUAUAAAAAUAACUCAAUAUUGAAUCAGUUUUUUUUCAAUUUAACAGAAAUUAUAAGAAAAAAAGCUGGGUUUUAAUUAAGAGAACCCAAAACCCCAAUCUUUAAAUUCUCUGAUUUAAUCAAACUAGCAAAAGUUUAAAAAAAAAAAAAACGACAGUUAGACUACAAGGGAAAAAUCAAAAGAGACAAAAAAAUCUUUUCAUUCUUUUAAUGAUUUUUAUAAUUUUUAAUUAUUUUUAAGAUUUUUUAAAAGAUUUAUUGUUAAUUUUUUUGAAAAAUAUCAAAAUAAUAUUUUUAACUAUAAUUUAAUAAUUAAAUUAAUUGUUAAUCAUUUGAAUUAAGUAUCAUGUCGUUCACUUAACGGAAAUUAACGGACAAAUUAUUAAAAUGUAAUAUUUAAAUAACAUUAAUAAUCAUUUCGUACCCUCUAAAAGUUCAUUCAUUCAAUUAAAUAAAAUCGAAUAUUCAAUCGUUACACAUAUUACUUCUACUAGAGCCAUUGAAUAAACCAAAAACGGUUCUUAAUUUGUCUACAAAGUCAACACUCUGUCCUAUACACUCACAUGAAUAAAAUUUCAAUUCGGUCAGCCCCUUAAUUAUUAGAUUUAUUCAUGUUAUGCUAAUUAUUCAAUACCAUCCAAUUCAUGCAUUAAUUUGCCUUAAUUAUCCUAAAUUAACAUAGUUAGCAAUUAAUCAAGAGGGAAAACAGUUCAUUUGAGUACUACUAAAUAAUUUCCAUCCAAUAAUGAAAUCUAGCCCUUGAUAUAAUUACACUCAAAUCCCUCUUAACUUUUAUUACUUUUUAGUAGUCCCCACCAAUUCACAUUUGAAUCCCUCCACUUCAAGCAUUUAUUUACUAGAUAACCCCCACUUCAGUUUUCCUACUAUUUUCUCUUAAAUUACACCAUCUCAAUUUACUUAUUUCAGCAUAAAUAUUUAAGUUCACUGUUUAUCUCGAAAUUUACUAUCCGGAUGAUAUCAUUCCGUGGUCUAAAUUUUGAACAGUUUAAAUAUUAUAAAUUAAAAAAAAUCUGUAUAAAUUUUGAUAUUAAAUAAAUUGGUCCUCUAAAAAAAUCAAAUCGGUUUAAUCCCUGACAAGUUUGAAAAUAAACGCCUAAGACAAUUAAUCACACUAUAAUUAUUUUUCACAAUAUAUAUAAUUUUUUAUUAGUAUAAUAAUAAAUUUAACUCACGACAUUUAUAUAUUCUGUCAAUCCAAUUUUGAUGUAACAAAUUUAAUCCACAAAUUUUUCACAUAAUCAACAUUUAUUUAAAUUUAUUAUUAUACUAAUAAAAAUUAUAUAUAAUUGACCAAAAAGCAUCACUAUUAUAAUCAAUUAUCAUUAGUUGCUUUUGAAAAUCUACAAACAUCAAUUACUCCAAUUUUGAGAGAAAUUUAAAACCGACUGGAAUCACCAAAAACAAACGUGACUACCAAAAAUCCAGAGAAAACAUCCACGGUAGAUCAACUAUAUGCUAGGGAAUUAAUAUCAAAAAAGUUAUAUGGUAGAGAAGAUGUCGGUACCAUUUGUAUUUUUGUCUUCAAAAUCUUGAAAAAUAUUUUUGGGAAAUAUGUUUUCCUGAACUAAAAUAACUUGGAAAAUAUUUAGUGCAUUGGUAAUUUUUUAAAAUUAUUUUUGGAAUAAAAAAGUACAUGGUGAAUGUAUUAUAUACUAACCCAAAUAAAUUUUAGUUAAAAAUGAUGAUAAACUAAUUUUUAAUAAAAGUAAUAUUAAGUCCUAAACAAUUAAAUACAUCAAAAGUAACAUUUUUAUUGUAUAUAAAAGCGAAAAAAUAUAUACAAAACAUAAAAAAAUAACAAAAAACCACAAUACAAAAACAAAAACAAUGAGUCAAAUGAUAACUAAACACCAAAGCAAACAGACAAGGCUUGGAAGAAAAAAAAAGAGAGUAAAUAUACUUUUUGGUUCUCUUCUGAAUUUAAUGUUUAAAUUGGUACCUGUUAAGGGGUCAGCUCCUUAGGGCAGCCAAUUCGAACUCUCAACAAUCGAUAGUAUCGUACUGAUAUUAAGGUUUUGUCCCCAACCUCCAAGGAGAGUCGUGUACAGCUCAGUAGGGAAGUACCUUAGUUGAUAGAAAUAGGCACUUGCAAAACUCGAAAAAAAUGUCAAUAUAAGGUGUGUAAAUAAUAAAGAAGGUACUUGGGCACCGCAAAAUUCAAGACACCAAGAUACCUCCAUUAUUAUUCACACACCCUAUAAUCUCUUUUCUCCCAAAUCUUGCAACCAACUAAAUUACCCCUUUAAUGAAUCGUACAUUGCUCUCCACAAAAGCUAGGGACAAAACUUCAAUACAAGGAUAAAACCAUCAGUUGUUGAGGGACCGGAUCAACUGCCCGACCAACCACACUUCAAAUACUUCUACUAAAAGAGCCAAUCCCCCAUCAAUAGUACUUUUUUUUUUGGUUCAGACUAUACUCAAAUUUGAUUUCAUCACAUCGUUAAUCUUGAAUGACAUGGACCAAUCAGAUUUAAACACACGGGACACAUCAUGUCAUCAACUGAUGUACCACGUGUAAUAAAUUGAUUGGACCACAUAAUCCAAUUUUAAAAGAGCUACAAAAAAUUGACUAAAACCUGUAAGAAAAGCCAAAUUCAAGUAACAAUUCGGACAAAUAUGUUACAUAUGUACCAAUUUGAACAUCGAAACCAAAUUCAGGUAUCAAAAAAUAUAUCUACCCAGAAAAAACGAAGCAUAAAAACAGUUAAACUAUGAAUCAGUGGGGCAAUCUGUUUAAAUUGCCUUUUCAUUGCAUAAAAAAGGUUUCAGCUUCAGCUAGAGUUCACUAAGCAAAAGGUAGAAGAAUAAUGAUAAAGAAAGGCAUUCAGAUUCAGUACUUACUUUAAAUGCUUCCAUCUCAGAGGGAGUUUUUUAACUGCAGUUGCAAGGAUAAAAAAGUCCAGGAAAGCGAAUAAGUCAAUGUAGAUAUUAGAUAGUACACAACACCACCUACACGAAAAGUCUCGUGAGCUGCAAUCGAAUAAAAGUCUUUUAAGAUCAACAAAUGAAAAGGAAAUAAGAUAUGGGGGAAGAACAUUAGAGAUUGCAUUCAACAAACAAACUUUGCCCUUGUUAAUUGUAUGCAAUUGUGUAAAAGUCAAGUUGAAGCUUCCCCUUCCAAGCGUACCCUCUUGGGACCUUUCUCUUCACCUUGACUGCCGGUGUUCAUCACUCUGUUUUCUUUGGCUUCCACAGAACACCUUUUGUAAGGUUUAAAUCCAGUUCGGCCAGCUUUUAGUUUUGAAUGUCCUAAUCCAAUAGUCAGCAGGCCCUCUUCUGUAGUGUUCUUGUCUCUUGAUAAUGCAUUUUUCACAGUUACUUGAUGAUCAGAACAAGAACCCAAUGUCUUGCUGUUGAGAUCUAAAGUUGAUAUUUCUUCAUCUUCCUCAGCUGGAUUUUGCUUGUCUUCACCUAUAUUUUCCUUUUGCUGCCCCUUGCUCUUGCCAUCAUGUGGAGGAGAAAAGCUUUGCGGGAGUACCUCUCGGGAGAAGAGGGCUUGAAAAGCUAGCCGCCCCUGGAUAAGUAGUGGAGCCAUACAGUGACAAUGGUACAAUACAAUUAGAAUAAUAAUUAAAGUUAAGCUAAUGGGAAAAUUGAGAUAUCGACUCACCUCUUCAGAUACCUCCUUCCAAGAAUCACUCAGGUUGCUAUUGCUUCUACUACUACGACGGCUACAUUCAACUUGUGGAUGAUUUGGGUCAGCUCCUUUUGAAUCUUCCUUGUCUUUUUCAUGUUUUUCUAACGCAUCUGUCUCUACCUCACUGCUUGAAGGAGUGUUGGAGCCACAUGAGGACCGGUCAACUUGUUUUUUGUUCUUUGUUUUAUUUGCAUCCUGAGGCUCAAUUACUUCAGCAGCCAUCUCAUCAUCGGUAGCUUUCACUCCAGUAUUCACUUUUGCAUCUCCUCUCUCUUCACAGUCCGAUGAUGAUGAAGUAGGUGAUUUAGAUGAUGAAUGCUGACCUUGCAAAGCUUCAGAGUUUUCGGGGUCUAGUUGCUCAACCUGCAGAGAUAGAGCUUGAUCAGUUUUACCCUUUUGUUCUGUCUUGGCAGCUGGAGGUUGACCAUUCUCCAUUGGUGGAACUGCAGCAGUGGAUGCAGGAAAACAGGUAAAGCCUGUAUGCAGAGGAGCACAUACAGGAAACAGUCCAUGGGCGGCCCACCAUGCAGUUGCAGCUGCUACAGUUGCAGCAGCAAUUGCAGCCAUACUUGGAGCAGAGUUGAUUUGUCUAGAUGGGAAACCUCCUAAGCCGCAUGCAGGAGAAUCGCCAGAGCUUUCAAUAUUCGCAUAAGGCCAAAAUCUUGCUGCAAAGCUUGCUGCAGCAUGGGCAGCUGGAUUCUGUAACAAUGUAGAUACAAUGAGACUGGAAAAAGUGGAGGAGACAUGUAGAAAUGAUCGAUAGUCCUGUUGAUUUGGGCGAAG
This 12543-nucleotide long non-coding RNA is filed under the name Gossypium raimondii (Peruvian cotton). RNAcentral describes it as "long non-coding RNA (GRAI_LNC006557)". The record is from RNAcentral. Lineage: Eukaryota; Viridiplantae; Streptophyta; Magnoliopsida; Malvales; Malvaceae.